GAUGAACGCUGGCGGCGUGCCUAAUACAUGCAAGUCGAGCGAACGGACCAGAAGCUUGCUUCUCUGAUGUUAGCGGCGGACGGGUGAGUACCACGUGGAUAACCUACCUCUCCGACUGGGAUACCUUCGGCAAACCGGAUCUACUACCGGAUAAUUUUUUGAACUGCAUUGUUCAAGAGUUAAAGUCGGUCUUGCUGUCACUUAUAGAUGGAUCCGCGCUGCAUUAGCUAGUUGGUAAGGUAACGGCUUACCAAGGCUACGAUGCAUAGCCGACCUGAGCGGGUGAUCCCAUACCCGGGAAGAGAGAAACGGCAGAGACUCCUACGCGAGGCAGCGGUAGGGAAUCUUACGGGAAGGGCGAAAGCCUGAUGGAGCAAAGCGGCGGGAGUGAUGAAGGUGUUAGGAUGGGAAAGUGAUGUUGGUAGGAGAGAAGAAAAGUGUAAGUAACUGGGAAGAUAUUGACGGUACCGAAUGAGAAAGCCCCGGCUAACUCCGUG
This 497-nucleotide ribosomal RNA is filed under the name uncultured bacterium. RNAcentral describes it as "partial 16S ribosomal RNA". It matches the Rfam family "Bacterial small subunit ribosomal RNA", at positions 28 to 507 of the family's 1533-position model. The record is from RNAcentral.